GAUGAACGCUGGCGGCGUGCUUAACACAUGCAAGUCGAACGGAAAGGCCCUGCUUUUGUGGGGUGCUCGAGUGGCGAACGGGUGAGUAACACGUGAGUAACCUGCCCUUGACUUUGGGAUAACUUCAGGAAACUGGGGCUAAUACCGGAUAGGAGCUCCUGCUGCAUGGUGGGGGUUGGAAAGUUUCGGCGGUUGGGGAUGGACUCGCGGCUUAUCAGCUUGUUGGUGGGGUAGUGGCUUACCAAGGCUUUGACGGGUAGCCGGCCUGAGAGGGUUACCGGCCACAUGACGACUAAGGGACGGCCCAGACUCCUACGUGAGGCAGCGGGGGGGAAUAUUGCACAGUGAGCGGGAGCCUGAGACGACGACGCCGCGUGCGGAAUGACGGCCUGCGGGUUAUGAACCGCUUUCUCCUGAGACGAGGCGUUAGUGACGGUAAUGGAUAAAGAAGCACCGGCUAACUACGUG
Molecule: ribosomal RNA, 468 nt
Filed under: uncultured bacterium
Lineage: Bacteria
Description: partial 16S ribosomal RNA
Rfam family: Bacterial small subunit ribosomal RNA
Source: RNAcentral